Podarcis lilfordi (Lilford's wall lizard) is the source of this 69-nucleotide non-coding RNA. Lineage: Eukaryota; Metazoa; Chordata; Lepidosauria; Squamata; Lacertidae. The record is from the annotation of a GenBank genome assembly.
GGAUAGCUCAAUCAGUCGAGCAGGAGACUCUUAAUCUCAAGGUUGUGGGUUCGAGCCCUGUGUUGAACA